Molecule: ribosomal RNA, 301 nt
Filed under: uncultured bacterium
Lineage: Bacteria
Description: partial 16S ribosomal RNA
Rfam family: Bacterial small subunit ribosomal RNA
Source: RNAcentral
CAGUCGCCGCGGUAAUACGGAGGAUCCAAGCGUUAUCCGGAAUCAUUGGGUUUAAAGGGUCCGUAGGCGGUUUAGUAAGUCAGUGGUGAAAGCCCAUCGCUCAACGGUGGAACGGCCAUUGAUACUGCUGAACUUGAAUUAUUAGGAAGUAACUAGAAUAUGUAGUGUAGCGGUGAAAUGCUUAGAGAUUACAUGGAAUACCAAUUGCGAAGGCAGGUUACUACUAAUUGAUUGACGCUGAUGGACGAAAGCGUGGGGAGCGAACAGGAUUAGAUACCCCAGUAGUCCCUGUCUCUUAUAA